Molecule: ribosomal RNA, 497 nt
Filed under: uncultured bacterium
Lineage: Bacteria
Description: partial 16S ribosomal RNA
Rfam family: Bacterial small subunit ribosomal RNA
Source: RNAcentral
GAUGAACGCUGGCGGCGUGCCUAAUACAUGCAAGUCGAGCGAACAGACGAGGAGCUUGCUCCUCUGACGUUAGCGGCGGACGGGUGAGUAACACGUGUAUAACCUACCUAUAAUACUGGGAUAACUUCGGGAAACCGGAGCUAAUACCGGAUAAUAUAUUGAACCGCAUGGUUCAAUAGUGAAAGACGGUUUUGCUGUCACUUAUAGAUGGAUCCGCGCCGCAUUAGCUAGUUGGUAAGGUAACGGCUUACCAAGGCAACGAUGCGUAGCCGACCUGAGAGGGUGAUCGGCCACACUGGAACUGAGACACGGACCAGACUCCUACGGGAGGCAGCAGUAGGGAAUCUUCCGCAAUGGACGAAAGCCUGACGGAGCAACGCCGCGUGAGUGAUGAAGGUCUUCGGAUCGUAAAACUCUGUUAUUAGGGAAGAACAAAUGUGUAAGUAACUAUGCACGUCUUGACGGUAACUAAUCAGAAAGCAACGGCUAACUACGUG